GUAGGUGGCAAGCGUUGUCCGGAUUUACUGGGCGUAAAGAGCGCGCAGGCGGUCGGGUGAGUCGAAUGUGAAAGCCCCCGGCUCAACUGGGGAGGGACAUUCGAUACUGUCCGACUCGAAGGCAGGAGAGGGAAGCGGAAUUCCCGGUGUAGUGGUGAAAUGCGUAGAUAUCGGGAGGAACACCAGUGGCGAAGGCGGCUUUCUGGCCUGUUCUUGACGCUGAGGCGCGAAAGCUAGGGGAGCGAACGGGAUUAGAUACCCCGGUAGUCCUAGCCGUAAACGAUGGACACUAGGUGUUGGUGGUAUCAACCCCACCAGUGCCGUAGCUAACGCAUUAAGUGUCCCGCCUGGGGAGUACGGCCGCAAGGCUA
This 371-nucleotide ribosomal RNA is filed under the name uncultured bacterium. RNAcentral's name for it is "bacterial SSU rRNA". It matches the Rfam family "Bacterial small subunit ribosomal RNA", at positions 527 to 896 of the family's 1533-position model. The record is from RNAcentral.